Molecule: ribosomal RNA, 299 nt
Filed under: uncultured bacterium
Lineage: Bacteria
Description: partial 16S ribosomal RNA
Rfam family: Bacterial small subunit ribosomal RNA
Source: RNAcentral
CUAUGCGCCUUGCCAGCCCGCUCAGGUGUGCCAGCAGCCGCGGUAAUACGGAGGAUGCGAGCGUUGUCCGGAUUUACUGGGCGUAAAGGGAGCGUAGGCGGACUUUUAAGUGAGAUGUGAAAUACUCGGGCUCAACUUGAGUGCUGCAUUUCAAACUGGAAGUCUAGAGUGCAGGAGAGGAGAAUGGAAUUCCUAGUGUAGCGGUGAAAUGCGUAGAGAUUAGGAAGAACACCAGUGGCGAAGGCGAUUCUCUGGACUGUAACUGACGCUGAGGCUCGAAAGCGUGGGGAGCAAACAGG